GAUGUACUCCCUCCGUCCGGAAAUACUUGUCCGAGGAAUAGAUGUAUCUAGAUGUAUUUUAGCUCUAGAUACAUUCGUUUGUAUUCAUUUCUUCGGACAAGUAUUUCCGGAAGGAGUAACUGAUUA
This is a non-coding RNA of Triticum urartu, 126 nucleotides long. The record is from Rfam. Lineage: Eukaryota; Viridiplantae; Streptophyta; Magnoliopsida; Poales; Poaceae.